This is a long non-coding RNA of Magnolia sinica, 485 nucleotides long. RefSeq lists it as uncharacterized. Lineage: Eukaryota; Viridiplantae; Streptophyta; Magnoliopsida; Magnoliales; Magnoliaceae. The record is from RefSeq and is a predicted model, not a curated record. The transcript has 3 exons.
AGGCAAUAUGUUUAUCUUGUCUGCAGUAAGUAACAUAAUUACUCAUUAUGUAUUUGUCUGAUGAAAUGCAUUUAUGAAUACUGAAUUCUUUUCAAUUACUUGCAACAGGAGUGACGGAAUUAUGAAAGUUUGAUCAAGAUAGUGCUUUGUUGACCAUCAGGGGUAUACAUGUGUUGUUGUGUUUUGAUAUAGUCCUGUUGCUUCUUAUAUUCUCUCAUGAUUCCUUGCCUAAUGUUGUGUUUGUGCAUAUCUCUUGAUUGGCAUUGGCUCCAGAAAUCAUUCAGAAGGCAGGAUCACAAGAUUGAUGUGAAAUCUUUUUUCUGAUGAAAGGAAUUGCAAAAUCGGUUACAGCUGUUGCAAGAAAUGCUCAGUGAUGUGAAGUAUAGAUUGAGUUGUUGGACCGUACCAGGAAAUGUCACUAAUGCACUCCAAAUCAAAGUAAUGGAAGAAUCUUUGAUGAAAUAUCUUGAUUCACGUUGAGAACA